This 389-nucleotide ribosomal RNA is filed under the name uncultured bacterium. Its description in RNAcentral is "partial 16S ribosomal RNA". It matches the Rfam family "Bacterial small subunit ribosomal RNA", at positions 355 to 737 of the family's 1533-position model. The record is from RNAcentral.
UGGGGAAUAUUGCACAAUGGGCGCAAGCCUGAUGCAGCCAUGCCGCGUGUGUGAAGAAGGCCUUCGGGUUGUAAAGCACUUUCAGCGAGGAGGAAGGUGGUGGACUUAAUACGUUCAUCAAUUGACGUUACUCGCAGAAGAAGCACCGGCUAACUCCGUGCCAGCAGCCGCGGUAAUACGGAGGGUGCAAGCGUUAAUCGGAAUUACUGGGCGUAAAGCGCACGCAGGCGGUUUGUUAAGUCAGAUGUGAAAUCCCCGGGCUCAACCUGGGAACUGCAUUUGAAACUGGCAAGCUAGAGUCUCGUAGAGGGGGUAGAAUUCCAGGUGUAGCGGUGAAAUGCGUAGAGAUCUGGAGGAAUACCGGUGGCGAAGGCGGCCCCCUGGACGAA